GUUUGUUCACAUGAUCUUAACUAAUAUUUUCCCUUUUGAAAUUAUUUUUCAUUUCACAGCCCAUAUCGUUAAAGCCAAGGAGACAUACCACAGACAGGGCCAGGGCACUGCCUCUGGGCCUUAAUGCUGUGUUUAUGUUGUGCUGUCGAGGCAGAGCCAGAGAGCCUGGGCUUAGUGGGAGUUCCCAGGGUGAUCCUGUUUGCCAAAGGCAGGGCUGAGGCCUAGGCUGCAUGGCUCACGUGUCCUGGGCCUGUCACAGGUUCUACGUGGAGAAGUCUCUGGAGUGAGGGCCCGCCAUCUUGGUAAGGCACCCUGGGUUCAGGUUGGUUUGGUUCCCCUCCACAUGGCACUGCAUUAGAGGAAAGCACAGUUGAGGCCCCAAGUUGGGCACACCUGUUCAUCCGUCCCCUUAAUCUACCUUCAUCUCGGGUCCUGCCCUCCCACUGUGUUUCUGACACUCACAGAAGUAAUAUAACUGGAGCUACUCUUGUCCCAGUGCUGUAUAUUAUCACAUUUAAUUCUCAGUCCGGCUCUGUGGAAUGAUUGUCCCCGUUUUAUAAUUAAGGACUCUGUGGAAUCAGAGAGGUCAAGCAACAUAUUCAAGAAGACACGACUAAUAAGUGGCCCAGGCAGGACAUGAACCCAGAUCUUUCUGGCAACCCCAGGGGCUUUCCUACAUACUACCCAGCCUCCUUGGGCAGUAGGAGCUCAGUAAACCCCCUCAGCUCACUCUGACCCGUCAAAGGAGAUUCAAUCAACCUGAAUGCUUAAAAGCUGUACUGAGACAGGCUGUGACCUGGGACCCUUUGCUGCAGUGCUUGCACCUGGACAAAUGUCUCCUCAAGCAACAGAAUACAAAGAAACGAUAAGAGACUAAAAACAACCGCGUGCACGAGCAUUCCGGGCAAUUAUGAACAAGAUACAAAAAGGCCACAAACCAACUGCCACUUCUGAGGUGCCGGGAGCAAAAGCAGGGUACUGCGCACGAUCCGUGCGCACAGCACCACCAAGCGGGUGGCAGACCACAAAAGCCGUCCCUCCGGCCCAACCCACCAAUCUGCCCCCACUCUCACCCCAUUUAAGGGACCAGCUGGCCCCUCCUCAGGGAGCGAGUAAGGGAACCUGUUACCUGUUUUCUCUCCCUCCUGCUGCAGCAUGAGUCCCAGUAAAGCCUUGCCUGAAUUUCUCAUCUGGCCUCUUAUCAGUUAACACUGAUUAAAGAGUCCAAGGACUGGAGCUGGUAACCGUACCACCGCUGCAGGUGAGCGUAAAAGCUUUGGAAGAGUGGCGAUCUUAUCUGCUUUAUCCAGAGCUGGAGUGUAGGAGUCACUCAAUCAGUGGCUGUUUGGUAAGUGAAUGAAUGUAUACACAGUUUAAAAUGAUGUUUACCAGGGCUUCCCUGGUGGCGCAGUGGUUAAGAAUCCGCCUGCCAAUUCAGGGGACACGGGUUCAAGCCCUGGUCCGGGAAGAUCCCACAUGCCGCAGAGCAACUAAGUCUGUGUGCCACAGCUACUGAUCCCACGUGCUGCAACUACUGAAGGCUGUGGGCCUAGAACCUGUGCUCCACAACAAGAGAAGCCCGCGCACAGCAACGAAGGGUAGCCUCCACUUGCCGCAACUAGAGAAAGCCCACACACAGCAACGAAGACCCAACGCAGCCAAAAAUAAAUAAAUUAAAAAAAAUGUUUACCACAAUUAUGCAACAAAAAGUUUUAAAUGACCAAUAUCUA
This is a long non-coding RNA of Orcinus orca (killer whale), 1730 nucleotides long. RefSeq lists it as uncharacterized. The record is from RefSeq and is a predicted model, not a curated record. The transcript has 2 exons. NCBI's taxonomy places the organism in Eukaryota, Metazoa, Chordata, Mammalia, Artiodactyla, Delphinidae.